UACGGGGGGGGCAAGCGUUGUUCGGAAUUACUGGGCGUAAAGGGCUCGUAGGCGGCCAACUAAGUCGGAUGUGAAAUCCCCAGGCUUAACCUGGGAACUGCAUCCGAUACUGGAUGGCUUGAAUCCGGGAGAGGGAUGCGGAAUUCCAGGUGUAGCGGUGAAAUGCGCAGAUAUCAGGAAGAACACCCGUGGCUAAGGCGGUUCUCUAGUACGGUACUGACGCUGAGACGCGAAAGCGUGGGGAGCGAACAGG
This 253-nucleotide ribosomal RNA is filed under the name uncultured bacterium. RNAcentral's name for it is "partial 16S ribosomal RNA". It matches the Rfam family "Bacterial small subunit ribosomal RNA", at positions 524 to 776 of the family's 1533-position model. The record is from RNAcentral.